UCGGGGAUCGUCUAACGGCAGGACUACGGACUCUGACUCCGUCGAUCUAGGUUCGAAUCCUAGUCCCCGAACCA
RNAcentral lists this transfer RNA (74 nucleotides) under Myxococcales bacterium. Its description in RNAcentral is "tRNA-Gln". It matches the Rfam family "tRNA". From Rfam's summary of the family: Transfer RNA (tRNA) molecules are approximately 80 nucleotides in length. Lineage: Bacteria; Pseudomonadati; Myxococcota; Myxococcia; Myxococcales. The record is from RNAcentral.